Molecule: ribosomal RNA, 426 nt
Filed under: uncultured bacterium
Lineage: Bacteria
Description: partial 16S ribosomal RNA
Rfam family: Bacterial small subunit ribosomal RNA
Source: RNAcentral
GUGAGGAAUUUUCCGCAAUGGGCGAAAGCCUGACGGAGCAAUGCCGCGUGAAGGAUGAAGGCCUAUGGGUUGCAAACUUCUUUUCUCAGAAAAGAAUUAUGACGGUAUCUGAGGAAUAAGCAUCGGCUAACUCUGUGCCAGCAGCCGCGGUAAGACAGAGGAUGCAAGCGUUAUCCGGAAUGAUUGGGCGUAAAGCGUCUGUAGGUUGUUUAAAAAGUAUUCUGUCAAAGAUUAGGGCUUAACCCUAGAUAGGCAGAAUAAACUUUUAAGCUAGAGUUUGGUAGAGGCAGAGGGAAUUCCCGGUGGAGCGGUGAAAUGCGUAGAUAUCGGGAGGAACACCAAAGGCGAAGGCACUCUGCUGGGCCAAUACUAACACUGAGAGACGAAAGCGAGGGGAGCAAAUGGGAUUAGAUACCCCGGUAGUCC